GACGAACGCUGGCGGCGUGCUUAAUACAUGCAAGUCAACUUGACUUUAGAUAGCAAUAUCGAAAAGUAGGGUGGCGCACGGGUGCGUAACGCGUAGGUAAUCUGCCCUGAGGUCUGACAUAACCCGUCGAAAGGCGGGCUAGCAUCAGAUGAUAUAUAAUCACGACAUCGUGGAAAUAUCAAAUCUUCGGAGCCUUGGGAUGAGCCUGCGUCUGAUUAGGUAGUUGGCGGAGUAAUAGCCCACCAAGCCUACGAUCAGUAGCUGGUCUGAGAGGAUGAUCAGCCACACUGGAACUGAGACACGGUCCAGACUCCUACGGGAGGCAGCAGUAAGGAAUAUUGCUCAAUGGGGAAACCCUGAAGCAGCAACGCCGCGUGAAGGAUGAAAUACUUUGUAUGUAAACUUCUGUAAGAUGGGAAAAAUAUUCUCCUCGGGAGAAUUGAUUGUACCAUCAGAGUAAGCCCCGGCU
This 469-nucleotide ribosomal RNA is filed under the name uncultured bacterium. Its description in RNAcentral is "bacterial SSU rRNA". It matches the Rfam family "Bacterial small subunit ribosomal RNA", at positions 28 to 498 of the family's 1533-position model. The record is from RNAcentral.